Long non-coding RNA from Gorilla gorilla gorilla (western lowland gorilla), 440 nucleotides. RefSeq lists it as uncharacterized. NCBI's taxonomy places the organism in Eukaryota, Metazoa, Chordata, Mammalia, Primates, Hominidae. The record is from RefSeq and is a predicted model, not a curated record. The transcript is spliced from 2 exons.
UGGAUUUGAACUGCGUGGGUCCAGUUAUACUCAGAUUUUUUUCAGUAAGAAUUACAUCAAGUGUGCCAGCCUCUCCUGCCUCCCUUUCCACCUCCUCCACCUCUUUGGCCUCUGCCACUUCUGAGAGAGCAAGACUAACCCCUCCUCUUCCUCCUCCUCAGCUUACUCAACAUGAAGAUGAUGAGAAUGAGGACCUUUGUGAUGAUCUUCCACUUAAUAAAUGAUCAGUGGAGCAUCACUGGCUGUGUGGGGCUCCCUCCAGUAAGUAGGUCUAGGACUUUAGCUGCAUCUGCUGCUCAUCCCAUAUCUUGACAAAAGUACACAAGAACCUCUAGUGCUUCCAUGUCUCCAAAUGCCAUCUCCAUUACACUUCAAAAUGCACCCCCAACCUAGGAUGAUUGGGCUGUCCUUCUUAGCUGAUAAAAACAGCAGAAAAACUU